AUUUAAUUCCAGAGAUUGUGAUUUGCUGAAUGCUUCUUUAAAACCCUGUUUCCAUUCCUUGUCUCUUAAUUAUUGGGAAUUGCCCAACCAUCCAUUGCUGUAUUUUGCUGUAUUUUUUUUCAGUCCCUCUGUCACGAUACACAGGAUUAGGAACAACCAAUGGUAAAUUCAUCAAAGGCAGAAGGAAUCAACACAGUGCAGGUGAGUAAUGACUGGUAGUAUGGUAGGCUGGAUAUUGACUUGAAUGUAACUGUUGAAUGUGUCUUACAGUAUGAUCUGGGAACACACACACAAAGGAGCAGUCGAAAUGAGGGGACCAGGAGAUGAUUUAGAUUCGACUUGGAAAAAGGAGACAGCAUCAGAGAUAAUCCAAGGAGCUUAUGGUCGGUUUCCCAAGAUUACUUAUGGAGCCUUGUGAUUACUAAACUGGAACAACAGGGCUUUCCUGAGAGCUCCUGAUCAAAGCACAGCCCAUUUUCUGCUUGACUGUGGCUUCCGCUUGAAAGAGGAAGAUCCAGACACUGAAGGAACAGGAGCGUUCAGCUGUGUCUGUAUUGUGCUCAAAGCUUCCAUCUAGUGGUCAUGACUCUCCUCCGAUUUGUAGCUUGACGAGUUUCUCAGCAUCUUUUUUGCAUUUACACAUGACUGUAAAAAGAUCUUGAUAUAACAUUUGAACAUAUACCUUUAAUAGCUACAUCAAGAAAAACUGUACAGGAGAUAAUCCAAUAACACCAUAUGUGUUAAAAGUGU
This 750-nucleotide long non-coding RNA is filed under the name Sinocyclocheilus grahami. Its description in RNAcentral is "lncRNA (ENSSGRG00000015703.1)". The record is from RNAcentral. Lineage: Eukaryota; Metazoa; Chordata; Actinopteri; Cypriniformes; Cyprinidae.